AUUUAAAUGCUUGAAAGCUUUUGGUUCCCGGGUUGACUGCAUCCUUAGCUCAUAAUUUUUCUAUUCUAGUUGAUUGAGAAAUCGAGAGAAUAUCUUGGGCGUUCGGAUCUUGAGAAACGCACUGUAGCUGGUGGCAUUCUUAAUGUUCAUAUUGGUGAUGCCCUUUCACAGUCAGUUAAUGUUUCUGGAGGGUUUGCCGGCAUUGUCAUUGACUUGUUUUCUGGUGGAAAAGUAUUGCCGCAGUUGCAAGAGGUUCAAACCUGGUUAGAAUUUAAUGAUAGAUUGAUGCCAAAUGGUCGUCUCAUGGUGAACUGCGGUGGCAUUGAUGAAGCAGCUGAUGUGAUAGAUGGAGUGGUUCAUCCCAAAAAUUCUUCAAUUGAUGGUACCUGGGUGC
Long non-coding RNA from Quercus lobata, 394 nucleotides. RefSeq lists it as uncharacterized. The transcript has 3 exons. The record is from RefSeq and is a predicted model, not a curated record. Lineage: Eukaryota; Viridiplantae; Streptophyta; Magnoliopsida; Fagales; Fagaceae.